Long non-coding RNA from Brienomyrus brachyistius, 371 nucleotides. RefSeq lists it as uncharacterized. The record is from RefSeq and is a predicted model, not a curated record. The transcript is spliced from 3 exons. NCBI's taxonomy places the organism in Eukaryota, Metazoa, Chordata, Actinopteri, Osteoglossiformes, Mormyridae.
GUUUUCUCAUUCCAGGAAAUGCUGCAUUUCUUUUUCCAUCAGACUAUUUGCUCACCUUACAAAACCUGGGCCUGAUCUAACUGCUGUUGUCUUUCAUAAUCCAGAUAAUAUUUUUUUUUCACUGAUGGCUCGUCCAUCCAGAAUGACCAGGACAGCAAGCUGAAGUUAAAGCAGCGAAGAUGACCAGCAGAUCAGCUGAUGACCGGUCCAUACCAUAUACACUGACGUGAGAUAAGCUUUUGGUGAUGAUUAUGGGACCCCGUGGAAAUCUUCCAAUGCAAUAAGGAGCUAUGACAUUGGAAACGGAGAACUUCCAGUAGGGAAAGUAGCCUUGGAGAAAUGAAGACACUGGCCCAGGAUUGUGAACCAUC